Molecule: long non-coding RNA, 3838 nt
Organism: Equus caballus (horse)
Lineage: Eukaryota; Metazoa; Chordata; Mammalia; Perissodactyla; Equidae
Source: Ensembl
GUGUCAGUACAGAGAAGUGACAGUGAGAAUUAAAUUAAUCCCCCCCGAGAUUAAGGAUUUAAGUUAGGCUGACCAGGACUAAGACAAAAUAGAAUAUAAGAGAAUAUAAGACAAAAGAGAAUAUAAGAUCAUUUUUAUGCCUGAAAGUAGUUAGUUUGAGGGAAAAGAUUACUAAUGCCUUUGAUUAUAUAAACAUUCCUACAUACACAAGGAAAGAGCAUUAAUUUAGGGAAAAGCCAUGCUAUAUGAGAUGCCACAAUGCUUUCAACUGCUUAACUGCGUAAGAAAAUAUUAAUAUCAUUUUAAUUAAUAGGUAUUUGUGUUACAAGAACUUAGAAAAUUUCCAUUGAAAAAUGAUUACAAAUUGUGUGUAUGUGUCAGCCUCUGAAUUAUGAAUGAAUCCGGUCCUGGGCCACACAUGGUCCUAUAAGACUGUAAUCCUCAAAAGUGGUCCUGGAGCAUGUUAAUAUGAGCUCAUAUAGUAAAACAUUCCCAGAGACAGGACCACUAGUCAGUCAAGAAGUCAGUCAAGAGCAGUCUUGCGCCUCUGUUAAAUCCCCAAGCUGGAUGCCAGCACUGAUUAAUGAAUGAUUGAUUGAUUGGCUAUGCAACAGGAUGUAACGGAAAUCACAGUGGACUUGGAGUUCAAAGAUGUGGUUUAAAAUGCUGAGCGUGCGAGUUUCAGCCCUGUGAUGUGGGGAAAGCAAUUUUACCUCUCUAAGCAUCGGUUUCCUCACUUUCUAAGCAUUUAAUUCGAGUGUAGAGCCAAUUGUUGUAACAAAAGCCCUAAAUAGGAGUGGCUUAAACAAGGUAGAAGCUGAUUUCCCCUCGGCCUAAUGACAGGAUCAGAGCAGGUCCAGGCCUGAUGUGGUAGCUCUGCUGUGCAGGGAACUCAGGCUCCUUCUUAUUGUUCUCCCAUCCCCGCUGAUGGAGUCGUGCCUACAGGGUGAAAAGCGGCCCAUGAUCAUGUCUGCCGGGUUCACAUUCCAGCUGACAGGAGGAAAGAACUGGGGAGUGGAACACAUACCUGUCUCUUUUAAGGGCCCAGCCAGUGUUGCGCUGGGGGUGGCUAGCACCAGCUCAUCAGAGCCGGUUAACUUUUCAGGAAUUACAUGAGCUGGUUGUUAAACACAGCCUUUAUUAAAAAUUAAAUUACAGGGGGCUGGCCCCAUGGCCGAGUGGUUAAGUUCGCACACUCCGCUGCGGCGACCCAGGGUUCAGAUCCCGGGCGCGGACAUGGCACUGCUCGUCAGGCUACUUUGGGGUGGCGUCCCACAUGCCACAACUAGAAGGACCUGCAACUAAGAUAUACAACUAUGUACGGGCGGGGGGUGGUUUGGGGAGAUAAAGCAGGAAAAAAAAGAAAAGAAGAUUGGCAACAGUUGUUAGCUCAGGUGCCAAUCUUUAAAAAAAAAUUAAAUUACAGAAACUCACAAUUAAACAAAUUAUACUAAAAACAAGUGCAGCAGAUACUGAAAACUCAACCCUUCCUAAUUAUUUCACUAUUAUCUGUGCUCUUCUGGUCAUUUACUCCUAUUGUUUAUACAUGGAAACACUAUAUACAAUAUACUACUGCAUCUCUUGUUCUGACAGUGAAGAAACUUCCUGUUGGCAGUUGAAGCCGACCAUGGUGGGUGUAUUUAUGGUACAGAAUUGGCAAACACUGCAGUCCAGGCCUUAAUUUAUUGUUUGUUGAUUGUCUAGACCAGGAGCUGGUUAACCAGCCCACAACCUGUUUUGGUUCAAUCCUUAAACUAAGAAUGAAUUUUUUACAUUUUCAAGUACAAAAGGAAGAAAGGAGAGAAAAUAUAUGACAGACAGUACAUGGCUGCAAAGCCUUAAAUAUUUACCAGCAGGCCCUUUGCAAGAAAUGUUUCCAGAACCUGAUGGAGAAAAUAUUAAUGCAAAUGAGACUGAAAAGCUUCCUUGCUGGCUAUCAGCUGGAUGUCACCCUCAGCUUAUGGAAGCAGCCUCAUUCCUUGUCACGUGGCCCCUUCUAGCUUCAAAGCCAGCAAGGGAGACUACCCCUGAGCUGAAGGAAUCCCUCCCACACAGUGAAUCUCUCUCACCAGGAAGCGCCCAGUCCCUUGUAAGGGCUCACCCUGGAGUCAGGCCCCCUGAGGAUAAUCGCCCUCUCUUGAAGGCAGCUGUGUCGCACAGCAGACUCUAAACACGAAGUGAGAGCCCGCCAUGUUUAUAGGUCCCCCACAAUCAAGAGGACGGAUUACGCAUGGCCUUGAAUCACUGGGGUCAUCCUAGAAUUCUUCCUACUACAAAGGGAGCCUUAUAGUUUCUGCCACAUCUACCUCUUUCACUUACAUUAUUAUUUUGAGAAUUUAAUGAGAUCAAGGAUACAUAAAAACACUUUACUACAAUAUAGAAUCUACAAUGUUAAAAAGUGCUCUAUAAAGUUAAAAGUGCUAUAAAGUGCUAUAAAGCAUUGUUAUGGACCUCCAUGACUUCUCAAAUUCACAUAUCUGAAUUUCUGAUAACAGAGUUCCUUUCCAAUUCUUAGUUCAGAACCCAGGAUGGAGGCACAUCUUUGACCCCGCUUUGGUUUUGUAACUUCUUCCAAGUCACCCUGAAGAGCUUAUUGAGUCCAGCCAUAGGAUGGGGUCUGGGGACAUAGGUAACACAAAAUCCCCUCCAUGCUCUAUCUAGCAAGUUCUCUGCUUACUGAAUAAUCCUUCCUUUGGUAUCCCGAAUGCAAGAUUUUCCAUUCUUCCUUCCUCCCCUCCUCUCCUUCCUUUUCCCCCUGCCUCUCCCCCUCCUCCUCCUCUUCCUCCCUCUUUCCUUCUAUUUCUUUCACUAACAUACUUAGAAAAGUCUGUAAACAACCAAGCCAUCUAGAGUUUAGCAAUAGGAAGUUAGCAUGUACCUUUAGCCAGUUCCCAGACACUGUUUCUUUUGCCAGAGGCCAAAAGAUAAUAACAGUUAUUAAAAAUCCUCUCUGUAAUGUGUGUCUGUUGCCCUUGGUGUCCAUUCAUAAGCUGUUCAUAGAUUCUGUAAGGAAAUGUGACAAAUUCUUCUCCGAGCUGAGCCAAGCCUUUCAGCGAGAUGCUUCAUGUGCAUGAACACUAGAAUCUGAUGCUACUUUCAGCAGAGUGAUGACAUCUGACUCCAGCUUCUUUUUAAACGAAAGCAGUACUUUAAGCCUUGAUGGUUAACACGAACUUACUUCAGGUGCAGAAAUAAAGCAAUAACCAACAAGCUGUGUUUCUCACGAAGUCUGCAGAAACACUUGGAACCCACGUGCACACAGAUGCUCUAUAAAGAAAAUCCGCAACUGCUAUUUCAAAUGCCCAGGAUGUCGCCUCCACUUUAUUUUUUUUUUUUAAGAUUUUAUUUUUUUCCUUUUUCUCCCCAAAGCCCCCCGGUACAUAGUUGUAUAUUCUUCGUUGUGGGUCCUUCUAGUUGUGUCAUGUGGGACGCUGCCUCAGUGUGGUUUGAUGAGCAGUAGCCAUGUCCGUGCCCAGGAUUCGAACCAAUGAAACACUGGGCUGCCUGCAGCGGAUUGCGCGAACUUAAUCACUGGGCCACGGGGUCAGCCCCUCCACUUUAUCUUUUUAACGAGGGUAAAGCCUCCAGCCUUUGUUAAAAACAAGACAAAAGGCCCAAAUGGAGUCAGUUAUGCUAGGCCCCAUGUCAGCAAAUCAAGACUUAAUUACAGUUUUGGCUCUGCCAGAAAUGGAAUCUUACACCAGGCCAUCAGGAAUCACCUGACCAGCUCUAGAUACGUAAUCUGCCUGACAGACCCCUGCCAUCCCCUAAAGGAAAGUAACUUUGCAGUAACCAACCCGCUUUUUCGCCUGGUAAAACUUCCUUGUUCCCGCUCCCU